Suricata suricatta (meerkat) is the source of this 347-nucleotide long non-coding RNA. RefSeq lists it as uncharacterized. Lineage: Eukaryota; Metazoa; Chordata; Mammalia; Carnivora; Herpestidae. The record is from RefSeq and is a predicted model, not a curated record. The transcript is spliced from 3 exons.
UUCUAGAUAACGUGCUGUUUCACUGGCUCACGUCUUGUGAUGGGCGUAGUUAAAAUCCUUUCUUCCGGAAGAAAAAAAGAGAGAGAGAAGAAUCCAGGGUGCCUUAUUUUUCUCAACACAUCCAAUGCUCUCCAAGCUGGCCUGGCACUGAUUAUGAUAAGCUGAUUUUAGCACUGGUGAUACCUUCUAGACGAGCUACUGUCAGGGGAGAACAAAUCAUCCAAAACCAAAGAGUAACUAAAAGCAUUUCCUGAAUUCUCUGGAAGUUUCCUUGGACAUCUUCCACUGGAGUACAAAUGAGCCCCAAUCCAACUAAUUCUUGGAAAAGAAAUAAAGUUACGAAAGGA